Molecule: ribosomal RNA, 253 nt
Filed under: uncultured bacterium
Lineage: Bacteria
Description: partial 16S ribosomal RNA
Rfam family: Bacterial small subunit ribosomal RNA
Source: RNAcentral
UACGUAGGGUGCAAGCGUUGUCCGGAAUUAUUGGGCGUAAAGAGCUCGUAGGCGGUUUGUUGCGUCGGCUGUGAAAUCCCGAGGCUCAACCUCGGGUCUGCAGUCGAUACGAGCAAACUAGAGUGUUGCAGGGGAGACUGGAAUUCCUGGUGUAGCGGUGAAAUGCGUAGAUAUUGGGAGGAACACCAGUGGCGAAGGCGGCUCACUGGACCGGAACUGACGCUGAGGCGCGAAAGCGUGGGGAGCGAACAGG